AGAGAUUGAACGAUGAACAAGGAAUUUAUUACAUAACCUUUUCAGAAGUCAAACUUCUUCAAGCAGAUUUUAUUAGCAAGCAUUUCAGUAAUACUACAACAGCUGAAAUCAAAGCCGAGUAGACUCCAAUAAAGAAAAUCCCACGAGAAAUCGAAUGAAACUCAGCGGCGCCUAAGCCUCGAACGUUUUACGAGUGAGCUGGUUUUAUGGAUGCAUUUCACUGGGGUUUUACUGCUUUGUCGGCCAUAAUUUAGAUUAGUGUUUAGCUAAUGUUUAUGGGGGUCGAAGGGUUAUGGAGAUCAGGGUACUUAGUGUUCAAGCAUUGAAGAAGAUCAAGCUUUCUGCUGGCGGAAGUGGUGCGAAGGAGACGACGCGGGGGUGGGGUUCCUGUUCAGCGCAGCCUUCAGAAUUUCUGGCAUCUUU
Molecule: long non-coding RNA, 423 nt
Filed under: Nicotiana benthamiana
Lineage: Eukaryota; Viridiplantae; Streptophyta; Magnoliopsida; Solanales; Solanaceae
Description: long non-coding RNA (NBEN_LNC033580)
Source: RNAcentral